AACGAACGCUGGCGGCAUGCCUAACACAUGCAAGUCGAACGAUUGCCUUAGGGUGUUAGUGGCGCACGGGUGCGUACCGAGUGGGAAUCUGCCCUUAGGUUCGGAAUAACAGCUGGAAACGGCUGCUAAUACCGGAUGAUAUAGCGAGAUCAAAGAUUUAUCGCCUGAGGAUGCGCCCGCGUUGGAUUAGGUAGUUGGUGGGGUUAGGGCAUACCAAGCCGCGGUACCAUAGCUGGUAUGAGAGGAUGAGCCGCCACACUGGGACUGAGACACGGCCCAGACUCCUACGGGAGGCAGCAGUGGGGAAUAUUGGACAAUGGGCGCAAGCCUGAUCCAGCAAUGCCGCGUGAGUGAUGAAGGCCCUAGGGUUGAAAAGCUCUUUUACCCGGGAAGAUAAUGACGGUACCGGGAGAAUAAGCCCCGGCUAACUCCGUG
RNAcentral lists this ribosomal RNA (435 nucleotides) under uncultured bacterium. RNAcentral describes it as "partial 16S ribosomal RNA". It matches the Rfam family "Bacterial small subunit ribosomal RNA", at positions 29 to 507 of the family's 1533-position model. The record is from RNAcentral.